GGCGGACGUGGCCAAGUGGAUUAAGGCAGUGGAUUGU
RNAcentral lists this transfer RNA (37 nucleotides) under Sphagnum palustre. RNAcentral's name for it is "partial tRNA-His". The record is from RNAcentral. Lineage: Eukaryota; Viridiplantae; Streptophyta; Sphagnopsida; Sphagnales; Sphagnaceae. RNAcentral also lists the same sequence under 2 other names.